AUAAGAUUAUACAAUCAAAAGAAGCAUGGGCCGAGACAUCUGGUCGACUACAGCGUGGGGAAUUUGAUAUAGUGGGACCACCAGUCGUAAUGAUGCUUGGACGAAUACGGUUAUUUGAUUACGUGGGCGUCUUCGAAGACGAAACCAGCGCUUUGCUUACUCCCGCUUUGACUGAGGAGAGCUCCCUUCUAUCAACUGUCAAACCCUUUCAACCCAUCGUAAGUAUUUUCUGACCCAUCUAAAUAUGUUUCUCUUAAUUUUUGGUCCCUCAUAAUUUCUCCCCAAAAAAGGUAUGGUUAAUGGUGCUCAUCUCCUUGCUGGCGGUGGCCAUCUAUUUCUUCGCAACUUCGAGGUUAAACCUUAGUGGCUCGGAUUAUAAGAAUUCGAGGUCGUUCGGUAUUGGGGACUAUGUCUUGUACACUACAGCAAUUUUGACAAACCAAGGUACACUAAUCUAUUAUUUAGCCUACUGUACAGAUUUUCAAACAUUUUUGUUUUUCUACUUAAAAAAAAAAUAAAAAAGGCUCCGUGUUUUGGCAACCAAACCAGCAAUCACGAAUAUCAUUCCGUUUAACGGCUGGGGUUUGGUGCCUGUUUGCCUUAGUUAUGGUCAACGUUUACAGUGGCACACUCACGGCCCACAUCACUGCUAGGAAGAUGAGCGUUCCACCCGAAAAUAGUACCGAAGUUAUGGAACAAGAAAUUUUACCUUACCUUGUUGUAACCGACGGUUUAGGCCGCGAUUUGAUUUUGGUUUGACGGAUUUUAUCAACUACGAAGAUUUUUUCAGUUGUUCAUUCGUUGAUAUUUUUCAUUUUGGGGCAGAGCGCCACUAGCGGGCCGUUGAAGAAAAUGGGCGACAUAUUUCGUCGCCAUCCGGAAUAUUUCAUUCCCGAUCAAGAAACCGGUUUUCAAAAAACUGCAUCGGGGUGUUGUGCCUAUAGUGAUUUGGUGAAUUUUUUGAAAUUCCGCAUCGGCAAGGAUUUUCAAGAAACUGGUAAAUGUCGGGUCCACAUAGGAAAGCCAAUCAAAGGCUAUGGAUUUUCAGGUCUGAUUCUUAGGAAGAAGAG
Molecule: long non-coding RNA, 1070 nt
Organism: Daphnia pulicaria
Lineage: Eukaryota; Metazoa; Arthropoda; Branchiopoda; Diplostraca; Daphniidae
Exons: 3
Source: RefSeq, a predicted model, not a curated record